Molecule: non-coding RNA, 103 nt
Organism: Roseovarius sp. A-2
Lineage: Bacteria; Pseudomonadati; Pseudomonadota; Alphaproteobacteria; Rhodobacterales; Roseobacteraceae
Source: Rfam
AUGACCGACAGCAAACUGCCCGACACGCAGGCGGGCGGUGAAAAAGGAUACACUAUCUCGCUUGCCGCCCAUGCCGGCGCGUCGAUGAUCCAUGAAAGCGCCG